This is a long non-coding RNA of Orcinus orca (killer whale), 112 nucleotides long. RefSeq lists it as uncharacterized. The record is from RefSeq and is a predicted model, not a curated record. NCBI's taxonomy places the organism in Eukaryota, Metazoa, Chordata, Mammalia, Artiodactyla, Delphinidae. The transcript is spliced from 3 exons.
GCUGAGAUUGAUUCUCCAGCCCCCAGAAAGGCCAGGGGUACAGAAUGUUCUUGCAGAUACCCGGAUGGAGCUUCUGCUUUCCCCAGAUAUCGGAGACUAAAUAAAAAUUUCA